CGGCCGGCGCAGGGUGAGUAACACGUAUCCAACCUGCCGAUAACUCGGGGAUAGCCUUUCGAAAGAAAGAUUAAUACCCGAUGGUAUAAUAAAACCGCAUGGUUUAAUUAUUAAAGAAUUUCGGUUAUCGGUGGGGAUGCGUUCCAUUAGGCAGUUGGUGAGGUAACGGCUCACCAAACCUUCGAUGGAUAGGGGUUCUGAGAGGAAGGUCCCCCACAUUGGAACUGAGACACGGUCCAA
Molecule: ribosomal RNA, 240 nt
Filed under: uncultured bacterium
Lineage: Bacteria
Description: partial 16S ribosomal RNA
Rfam family: Bacterial small subunit ribosomal RNA
Source: RNAcentral